RNAcentral lists this ribosomal RNA (465 nucleotides) under uncultured bacterium. Its description in RNAcentral is "partial 16S ribosomal RNA". It matches the Rfam family "Bacterial small subunit ribosomal RNA", at positions 339 to 795 of the family's 1533-position model. The record is from RNAcentral.
CUACGGGUUGCUCCAGUGGGGAAUAUUGGACAAUGGGGGAAACCCUGAUCCAGCAAUGCCGCGUGUGUGAAGAAGGCCUGCGGGUUGUAAAGCACUUUCGGUUGGGAGGACUGCUUCUAGCACUAAUAUUGUUGGAAGUUGACGUUACCUUCAGAAGAAGCACCGGCUAACUCCGUGCCAGCAGCCGCGGUAACACGGAGGGUGCAAGCGUUAAUCGGAAUUACUGGGCGUAAAGCGCGCGUAGGCGGCUAGAUCAGUCGGGUGUGAAAGCCCCGGGCUUAACCUGGGAACUGCAUCCGAUACUGUCUAGCUUGAGGACAGGAGAGGAGAGUGGAAUUCCACAUGUAGCGGUGAAAUGCGUAGAUAUGUGGAGGAACACCAAUGGCGAAGGCAGCUCUCUGGCCUGAUACUGACGCUGAGGUGCGAAAGCGUGGGGAGCAAACAGGAUUAGAUACCCCCGUAGUC